UGAAUACGAGAUGCUACGGCGUCGAAGCAGUCUAUGUCAUACUUCCAAGAAAAGCUCGCACUGUCAUAAACAAAUAAUGCCUGUACCAUAACCGACACAGGUGGGUAGGUAGAGUAUACUAAGGGGCGCGAGAUAACUCUCUCUAAGGAACUCGGCAAAAUGACUCCGUAACUUCGGGAGAAGGAGUGCCUUAUUUAUAAGGUUGCAAUAACAAGAUCCAAGCAACUGUUUAUCAAAAACACAGGUCUCCGCUAAGUCGUAAGACGAUGUAUGGGGGCUGACGCCUGCCCAGUGCCAGAAGGUUAAAGAAGUUGGUUAGCAUUCGCGAAGCUGAUAACUGAAGCCCUGGUGAACGGCGGCCGUAACGAUAACGGUCCUAAGGUAGCGAAAUUCCUUGUCGGGUAAGUUCCGACCCGCACGAAAGGCGUAAUGAUUUGGAUACUGUCUCGGAGAGGGGCUCGGUGAAAUAGACUUGUCUGUGAAGAUGCGGACUACCUGCACCAGGACAGAAAGACCCUAUGAAGCUUUACUGUAACUUGAGAUUGAAAUUGGACUUUACUUGCGCAGUAUAGGUGGGAGGCGUUGAUAAUAUUCUUGCGGGAUUAUUUGAGCCAUCAGUGAGAUACCACUCUUGUAAUGUUAGAUUUCUAACUUUGUAUCAUUAUCUGGUCAAAGGACAGUUUCAGGCGGGCAGUUUGACUGGGGCGGUCGCCUCCUAAACGGUAACGGAGGCGCACAAAGGUUUCCUCUGAACGGGUAGAAAUCGUAUCUAGAGUGUAAAGGCAUAAGGAAGCUUGACUGUGAGACCUACAAGUCGAGCAGGGACGAAAGUCGGUCUUAGUGAUCUGACGGUGCUGAGUGGAAAGGCCGUCACUCAACGGAUAAAAGUUACUCUAGGAUAACAGGCUGAUCUCCCCCAAGAGUUCACAUCGACGGGGAGGUUUGGCACCUCGAUGUCGGCUCAUCGCAUCCUGGGGCGGUAGUACGUCCCAAGGGUUGGGCUGUUCGCCCAUGAAAGCGGUACGCGAGCUGGGUUCAGAACGUCGUGAGACAGUUCGGUCCAUAUCCGGUGUAGGCGUUAGAAUAUUGAGAGGAGCCUUCUUUAGUACGAGAGGACCGAGAAGGACAUACCUCUGGUGUACCAGUUAUCGUGCCAACGGUAAACGCUGGGUAGCUAUGUAUGGAGUGGAUAACCGCUGAAAGCAUCUAAGUGGGAAGCCCACCUCAAGAUAAGUAUUCU
Molecule: ribosomal RNA, 1240 nt
Filed under: metagenome
Description: bacterial LSU rRNA
Rfam family: Bacterial large subunit ribosomal RNA
Source: RNAcentral